This 327-nucleotide ribosomal RNA is filed under the name Enterococcus faecalis. RNAcentral's name for it is "partial 23S ribosomal RNA". It matches the Rfam family "Bacterial large subunit ribosomal RNA", at positions 40 to 367 of the family's 2925-position model. The record is from RNAcentral. Lineage: Bacteria; Bacillati; Bacillota; Bacilli; Lactobacillales; Enterococcaceae.
UAGGAGCCGAUGAAGGACGGGACUAACACCGAUAUGCUUUGGGGAGCUGUAAGUAAGCUAUGAUCCAGAGAUUUCCGAAUGGGGGAACCCAAUAUCUUUUAUAGGAUAUUACUUUUCAGUGAAUACAUAGCUGAUUAGAGGUAGACGCAGAGAACUGAAACAUCUUAGUACCUGCAGGAAGAGAAAGAAAAUUCGAUUCCCUGAGUAGCGGCGAGCGAAACGGGAAGAGCCCAAACCAACAAGCUUGCUUGUUGGGGUUGUAGGACUCCAAUAUGGUAGUCUGUUAGUAUAGUUGAAGGAUUUGGAAAAUUCCGCUAAAGAGGGUGA